UUAUAUCUCUUCAGUGUAAAAUACGUCAGGGUGGAUCCAACUCUCGCAUUCCUUACCUCAUUUGACUCGUCUGUCACCGAUACAGAGAUUUCUCUGAACAAUUUUACCUGCACUCUGUAGGCCUUGCUUGCCAUGAUUUUAGAAGUGACAAAUGGUGUAUUGUUUAUACUUACAGACUGUGUGAAAAUAUGUAAUGUUUAUACUUGUUAGCUGUGUGUCUAAUUAUAAGGUUUGAGAACAAAAAUGUUUUUAGUAAGAAAGCCUUGAGAAACUGGAGAUAAUGAAACACCUGCAGAUUUCAGAAAGCCCCUAAAGGCGGAUUAAUUAGGAAAGGCUUUGCCAAGCCAAGAAUGAUUUCAGGUGGUGUGGACAGAACAUCAGGUCCAAUGAACUGGAGACAUGAGAGGCGUGCACAGACUGAGCUAUCCAAUCACCUUGUUGUGAGCAUGUACCCUGAGCAAACUAAACUGUAUAAAAGUUAACUGAUUUAAAUAAUAAAUGGGACAUUGCUUUGAUCACAUUGAUCGUGUUGCUAUGUCUCUGUACCUCCUCAUCGAUAUCUGGUGCCCGAAACACAGGGACUUUGUCGAGUUCUGAGGGAUGUAAAGGCGAACAGAAAGAAGUGGGAGAAGCAGCCGCUAGAGGUGGCGUGUCUCCCGGAGCUACGAGAAAAUAGCUGCAUGCAGUACAAAGAGAAAUCUUGCCCUGAUCAGGGACUAGCCAGGUAGCUGCAGUGCCUGAAUAAGUACAGCUUUCACACCGGUUGGCUGAAGAGCGUGAGGACAUGGCAUCCUAACUGGUCUGGUAUGUUGCUCACUGGUGCCUCAGCCCGUAGUUGGUGUUGAUGCUGUUUCCCUGUUCUCUGUCUGUGCUAACCUAAUCAGGUCCUAUGAGGCUGAAGUUCAUGCCUCUUUUCACAAACUGGAUGCUGUCUGUGGGAUGUGUUCCCUGGUGAGAUGGAGCAGUAGAUGAGUAGAGUGGGAUUUCGAUGGGCACGGCCCUCUGACUACCACUGCCAUCCUCAACCUUCCACAUCCUACAGUUUUUCAGCUGUCUAGAAAAGGCUGUUCUUGGCAGACCUGGACUCACACUGAAGAAGUUUCUAACCCUUUCCUAAAUGCUGUAGGUGCUCAACUGUUCACUGGUGGAAUCAGCAGCAUUAGACACGACCAUACUACAGUGGUGAUUUGCUUUCAGUCAGCAGGCUGCAGCUGUGCAGAAGUCCUCUGUGGAGAAGCGAUGGCUCAAGAAGCCCUAAAGCCUCAUUCUUGCAAUAAGUUCAGUGUAAAGUUACUGAUGAGAACAGUUGAAUUGGUUGUAGCACAUGAAAAUCAGCCCAGCAUCAGAUCAAGUUUAUUCCUCAUUUGCAAUCUCCAGACCUGGCCGUAUUGUUCUCAGUAUUUUCAAGAUGGACACACUUGCAUAUUUUAGGCAUGGCCAACUAAUGCAUACACAGUAAACAGAGACAAAUCACUGUACUGUUUUAUAGUAGGAAAAGACAAGGAAUUCGUUUCUGAUAACAGGAAUAAAUAUUUACAUGGAGUGCUCUCAGGCAUCUCUUAAAGAAACAUCCUUCUUUGAACCAGCUUCAGCUGCACAAAGUUAACAAAAGUGUAGAAAAACAUGCAGGGAAGUUCUCUGCUUCACUGUGCUCUCCUCAAGGAAGAUCAGCUCUGACAUUCUUGUCUAACCAGGCCUCUCAGACCUCCGGGGUGAUGGUGCCACACCAUCUCCAAGCAAUUUUUGCUCUCUGUGCCCAGAGAAAGUUUUUUUUGAAGUGUAAUUUGAAUCUGCCUUGUUUCAGUUUAGAUAGAUUUGUUCCCUGGCCAUGAUGGAGUUGAGGAAUAGGACAUGACAAAAGAAGCUGCACAGAAGCUCUAGAAGAACAUGAUCCCUGUGUUUUGCCACCAGGUGUCAUUGCUGUGCUUAGGAAAGCUCUGAUUUUCAUCACUAAGCUUUGUGAAGUUCGGGUAUUGCCUGAACUAUUGCUUAACAAUCCUGAGCAGCUUCUGAACAGGAGAAUACAGCCAGAGAUCUUUAUACCUGUCUAAUGAAACAUUAGAAAGGCAAUAAAGAAGGUAUGGUUCAAUGAAUCUGAAAAGAAAAUGUCGGAAAAUAGGAAAGGGAUAUGGCAGAAAGUCAAGCCUUCAGGCACAAACGGGCAAACUUUCUUUUAGUGGCAUGCAGUGGAGAGGCCACAAGAAGAUGCCAUAAGAAAGCCUGUUGUCUUGUUCCCUCCCACUGAGCCUCAACGCCCCUGGUUAUGGGUGGGAUAUGACAGAGAGAACAGAUUUCUGAAGUCAUGCAGCAUUCAUCUGCAUCUAUAUUGUGGCAAUUUCCCAAACACUGCAUUACUGCAGGUUAGUGUACUGUCCCCCUGCUUGUCCUUUUCCUGGAUUCAGGUCAGUUUGUCUGUGAUUUGGUUUCCACAUGUCCCAUGUUGUACGCGCUCGUUGACUCCUUGCUUGCUUAUGGAGCAGUAGUGUUUGAUUGUAGACACGACUCUGCAGGAGGGCACCUGAAUUUUUUGAGUGGGAAAAAGCCUCUCUGAAUACCCCCAUCUUAGAGGUUUUGGUCAAGAAGUUGACCACUGACGGUGUUUUUUUCAGUGCAAGCUGGCAUACUGCACAGGGGUGCAGCUGCUGAGGGGAUCCACAGUGACCAGUUAUUCUGAAAAACCACAUCACCACCUGGGCUCAGGGCAGCUGCAGGAGUGCAGGAGUGGCAUUCCUAAAGUCCUUAGAGCUUGAGGAUAAGGUCAGGGACAUUUGAAGAGUUCCAGCGUUUCUUUGACUUAAACAGAACUUUAGAUUGCUUGGGCUGUGUUGUAGAUCCCACUGAAGAUCAUGGGUUCACCACACAGUUAUUGGUGCUGGUUCAUAUUAUGGUAAAGUAUCCAUUUACUCUGCAGGAGGUUUUAAAAUAUGGUUUGAGUAAGCCCAUAUUCUUCUUGUCAUAAGUUACUCUGAAAAGCAGAGAUGGAGUUCCAUGUGACUUCCAAAUCUAAAGCUGAAUAAACUUUGACCCAUCUUUGAAAUGUGUAGCUUAAUUGUCUCUCCAAGAAGGUGGCUGUGUUAGCUGGGACAACAGCAUCUACUACUGACAAUCCUAAAGCCAAAUAAUAAAAUGUUUGAUUCAUAUUCA
Molecule: long non-coding RNA, 3144 nt
Organism: Pseudopipra pipra
Lineage: Eukaryota; Metazoa; Chordata; Aves; Passeriformes; Pipridae
Exons: 2
Source: RefSeq, a predicted model, not a curated record